ACGGAGGGUGCAAGCGUUAUUCGGAAUUACUGGGCGUAAAGCGCACGUAGGCCGCUUUGUAAGUCAGGGGUGAAAUCCCACGGCUCAACCGCGGAACUGCCCUUGAAACUGCGAAGCUUGAAUCCUGGAGAGGGUGGCGGAAUUCCUGGUGGAGGGGUGAAAUGCGUAGAGAUCAGAAGGAACACCGGUGGCGAAGGCGGCCCCCUGGACAGGUAUUGACGCUCAGAUGCGAAAGUGUGGGGAGCAAACAG
RNAcentral lists this ribosomal RNA (251 nucleotides) under uncultured prokaryote. Its description in RNAcentral is "partial 16S ribosomal RNA". It matches the Rfam family "Bacterial small subunit ribosomal RNA", at positions 525 to 775 of the family's 1533-position model. The record is from RNAcentral.